This 73-nucleotide transfer RNA is filed under the name Caerostris darwini. Its description in RNAcentral is "tRNA-Val". Lineage: Eukaryota; Metazoa; Arthropoda; Arachnida; Araneae; Araneidae. The record is from RNAcentral.
AAACCCAUGGUUUAGCGGUUAUCACAUCCGCCUAACACGCGGAAGGUCCCAGGUUCGUGACCUGGUGGGUACA